CAGCAGCCGCGGGAAUACGAGGGGGGCAAGCGUUGUUUGGAAUUAUUGGGCGUAAAGGGUGCGUAGGCGGUUUGAUAAGUUUGAUGUGAAAUCUCUGGGCUCAACCCAGAGUCUGCAUCGAAAACUGUCGGGCUUGAGUAUGGGAGAGGUGAGUGGAAUUUCCGGUGUAGCGGUGAAAUGCGUAGAUAUCGGAAGGAACACCUGUGGCGAAAGCGGCUCACUGGACCAUUACUGACGCUGAUGCACGAAAGCUAGGGGAGCAAACAGGAUUAGAUACCCCCGUAGUCCCUGUCUCUUAUAC
RNAcentral lists this ribosomal RNA (301 nucleotides) under uncultured bacterium. RNAcentral describes it as "partial 16S ribosomal RNA". It matches the Rfam family "Bacterial small subunit ribosomal RNA", at positions 509 to 807 of the family's 1533-position model. The record is from RNAcentral.